Molecule: transfer RNA, 76 nt
Filed under: Firmicutes bacterium CAG:631
Lineage: Bacteria; Bacillati; Bacillota
Description: transfer RNA-His(GTG)
Rfam family: tRNA
About the family: Transfer RNA (tRNA) molecules are approximately 80 nucleotides in length. Their secondary structure includes four short double-helical elements and three loops (D, anti-codon, and T loops).
Source: RNAcentral
GCGGAUGUGGUGAAGUGGCUAACACAUCUGGCUGUGAACCAGACACUCGUGGGUUCGAUCCCCAUCAUCCGCCCCA